RNAcentral lists this ribosomal RNA (895 nucleotides) under Clavulinaceae sp. AT2-2OL. RNAcentral describes it as "eukaryotic LSU rRNA". It matches the Rfam family "Eukaryotic large subunit ribosomal RNA", at positions 40 to 927 of the family's 3401-position model. Lineage: Eukaryota; Fungi; Basidiomycota; Agaricomycetes; Cantharellales; Hydnaceae. The record is from RNAcentral.
AUAUCAAUAAGCGGAGGAAAAGAAACUAACAAGGAUUCCCCUAGUAACGGCGAGUGAAGCGGGAAGAGCUCAAAUUUGAAGUCUGGCGGUCUACGGCCGUCCGAGUUGUAGUCUAGAGAAGCGUUUUCCGUGCCGGACCGUGUACAAGUCCCUUGGAAUGGGGCGUCAUAGAGGGUGAGAAUCCCGUCUCUGACACGGACUGCCGGUGCUCUGUGAUGCGCUCUCGAAGAGUCGAGUUGUUUGGGAAUGCAGCUCAAAAUGGGUGGUAAAUUCCAUCUAAAGCUAAAUAUUGGCGAGAGACCGAUAGCGAACAAGUACCGUGAGGGAAAGAUGAAAAGCACUUUGGAAAGAGAGUUAAACAGUACGUGAAAUUGUUGAAAGGGAAACGCUUGAAGUCAGUCGCAUCUGCCGGGACUCAGCCUUGCUUCUGCUUGGUGCACUUCCCGGUUGGAUGGGCCAGCAUCGAUUUUGGCCGGCAGAUAAGGUCCGAGGGAAUGUGGCACCUUUGGGUGUGUUAUAGCCCUCGGUGAUAUGCCGGUCGGGAUCGAGGAACUCAGCACGCCUUCAUGGUCGGGGUUCGCCCACGUCACGUGCUCAGGAUGCUGGCGUAAUGGCUUUAAACGACCCGUCUUGAAACACGGACCAAGGAGUCUAACAUGUCUGCGAGUGUUUGGGUGAUUAAACCCGAGCGCGUAAUGAAAGUGAAAAGUUGGGACCCUUCGCGGGGGCACCGACGCCCGAACCAGACCUUCUGUGACGGAUUUGAGGUAGAGCAUACAUGUUGGGACCCGAAGAUGGUGACUAUGCUGCAUAGGUGAGCCAGAGAACUCUGUGAGCUCGUAACGAAUCCUGACCUGCAAUCGAUCGGUUCGAUGUGUGGUAUAUAGGGGGCGCG